Apis mellifera (honey bee) is the source of this 699-nucleotide long non-coding RNA. RefSeq lists it as uncharacterized. The record is from RefSeq and is a predicted model, not a curated record. The transcript is spliced from 3 exons. Lineage: Eukaryota; Metazoa; Arthropoda; Insecta; Hymenoptera; Apidae.
UAAGAAAAGUUUAAAUAUUUAAAUAUUUUUAAAUCAAAGUAAAACACAAUAUAAUCGAUUGAAAAUCAAGAAAAUCUUUGAAGUUUCUGGUUAGGCACACCAAAAUGGAUUACACUACCGAGCAUUUACCAAUGGAAACAUAUAAUCGAAUCAUUAAAAAAAGAAAUUAUAUAUUUGUGCGAUUCUGUCACUCUUUUUAUUGCAACUAACAGUUCUAUUUACGAAAAUUGAUUUAGUGAAUCGGAUUUUUUUUUUUAUACUGCUUUUUCAAUGUAUUUAUUUUUAUUUGAAAACAUCCAAAGGUAAAAAAAAGAUACGAAAUAAUGAUGGAUAUAAACCAAAUUGAACAAGGAAUUUGGUAAAAAAUCACGCAUGGAAAAGAUUCGGGGAAAAAUGUAUUCAUGCUUGCUUAAUGUCAGAAACAUGAAGGCUGGGACGUCGAUUAAUGUUUUGUGAUGGAAUUUGCUGGAAUUCAUUACUUUUUAUUGAGAGCAUUAUAGUGCGACUCUUUUAUUAGUAUAACGAAGUCAAAAUGACCACGGUAUCGGGCAUGUUCCAUGACAUAACAUUGACGUGAUAAUAUUAUGCGAAUUUGAUGAAAUUAAAGUAGUACGAGCGUCUCGAACUAAAUUUUUCGAUAUUUGUUCAUUUGUAUAAAAAAAAAAAAUUAAUUUGAGAUAGAAAUAUCUCAAUUCAUUU